UACAGAGACUGCAAGCGUUAUUCGGAUUCACUGGGCGUAAAGGGUGCGCAGGCGGCCGUGUGUGUCAGGUGUGAAAGCCCGGAGCUUAACUCCGGAACUGCGCCUGAAACUACAUGGCUAGAGCAUUGGAGAGGGUAGCGGAAUUCACGGUGUAGCAGUGAAAUGCGUAGAUAUCGUGAGGAACACCAGAGGCGAAGGCGGCUACCUGGACAAUUGCUGACGCUCAGGCACGAAAGCGUGGGGAGCAAAAGGG
RNAcentral lists this ribosomal RNA (253 nucleotides) under uncultured bacterium. RNAcentral describes it as "partial 16S ribosomal RNA". It matches the Rfam family "Bacterial small subunit ribosomal RNA", at positions 524 to 776 of the family's 1533-position model. The record is from RNAcentral.